UGCAGCGCGGGAGACUAGUUGAACUGCCGCGGGCGCUGUGGCGGGGCGGGCGCACCAUGGAGCGGCUGCGGGACCUGCGGGAGCGGCUGCAGGCGUGGGAGCGCGCGUUCCGGCAGCAGCACGGGCGGCGGCCAAGCCAGGACGACGUGAAGGCGGCGCCGGAGGAGACCCGCGCGCUCUACCGGGAAUACAGUUCUCUGAAGCGGACGGUGCGUCAGUCCGGUGGCGGCGGCGGGCCCCGCAGCCCAGAGUCGCUCCCCGCGGCGGCCGAGGAGGCGCCAGAGCCGCACUGCUGGGGGCCCCACCUGAAUCGGGCUGCGACCCAGAGUCCACAACCUACCCCAGGGCGGAGCUGUCAGGGCUUGUUCCGGGACUAUGGGCAGCGACUCAAGGCCAAUCUGAAAGGCACCUUGCAGGCCAGCCCAGCUCUGGGCCACAGACCUUGGCCUCCAGAAAGAUCCGCAUCCAAGACACCCAUCCCAAAGCUCCCAGGCACAGGACUUGUCCCCACCUUUGCAGAAAAAGUCAGUGAUAUGCCUCCACAGCCUUCUGGGCCCCGGCCAAGGCCAGGUCGGCUCCAGCACCUGCGGGCAUCCCUGAGCCUACGGCUGGGCUCCCUAGAUCCUGGCUGGUUGCAACGGUGUCACAGUGGGGUCCCAGACUUUCUGGGGGCCCCCAAACCCUGCAGGCCUGGCCUAGGCUCAGAGGAAUCACAACUUCUGACCACCGGUGAGUCCGCUGUCCUUGGUCCUGGUGCUCGCUCCCAGGGCCCAGAGGCUUCAGCCCUCCAAGAAGUCAGCAUCGGUGCAGGGAGCCCCCAACCCAGCAGCAGUCGAGGUGAGAAGCGGAGACGGAAUGAGGUGCCCUGGGGGAGCCCCACACAGGUCCAGCAGCAGAGCAGCCAAGCUGGACCUCCGUCUGAGGCGGCUGAGGCCAUAGCACUUGAGGAAGACUCUCCAGGGGAACCUGUACAGGCACAGCCACCUCAGCCGUGCAGCAGUCGGUCGACCCCCAGGUACCACAGACUCAGCCCCUCCAGUCAAGCCAGGGCAGAGAAGGCUGAGGGCAUAGCUCACUUGCACAUUUUCCCUAGGAUGGCUGGCCAUGACAGGGGCAAUUACGUACGGCUGAACAUGAAGCAGAAACGCUAUGUGCGGGGCCGGGCACUCCGUGGCAGGCUUCUCCGCAAGCAGGCACGGAAGCAGAAGUGGCAAAAGAAAGGGGAGUGUUUUGGCCGUGGUGAUACCACAGUCACAAUCAAGGAGUCUUGUUUCCUGAAUGGGCAGUUUGAUCACAGGGCACCCCAGUGUCCCCAGCCAGCAAGUGAGGAAGACACAGACCCUGAUAGGCCUGAGCCACUGGUUCCUGCGCCACAGCCUGUGCCUGAGGUGCCUGGCCUGGCCCCCACCGUGCUGCCACUCUACUCCCUGGGGCCCUCAGGGCAGGUGGCAGAGACGCCAGCGGAGGUGUUCCAUGCCCUGGAGCAACUGGGGCACCAAGCCUUCCGCCCCAGGCAAGAGCGUGCGGUCAUGCGGAUCCUCUCUGGCAUCUCCACGCUGCUGGUGCUGCCCACAGGGGCUGGCAAGUCCCUGUGCUACCAACUUCCGGCACUGCUCUACGCCCGGCGCAGCCCCUGCCUCACACUGGUCAUCUCUCCCCUGCUGUCACUCAUGGACGACCAGGUGUCUCGCCUGCCCCCGUGUCUCAAGGCAGCCUGCAUCCACUCGGGCAUGACCAGUAAGCAGCGGGAGUCUGUCCUGCAGAAGGUUCAGGCAGGCCAGGUACAUGUGCUGCUGCUGACCCCCGAGGCACUGGUGGGAGCCGGGGGUCUCCCUCCAGCCACGCAGCUGCCUCCAGUGGCUUUUGCCUGCAUCGAUGAGGCCCACUGCCUCUCUCAGUGGUCCCACAACUUCCGGCCCUGCUACCUGCGUGUCUGUAAGGUGCUUCGGGAGCGGAUGGGCGUGCAUUGCUUCCUAGGUCUCACGGCCACAGCCACACGCCGCACAGCCAGUGAUGUGGCCCAGCACCUGGCUGUGGCCGAAGACCCUGGCUUCCAUGGGCCAGCCCCAGUUCCCGCUAACCUGCACCUUUCUGUGUCCAUGGACAGGGACACAGACCAGGCUCUGUUAACUCUGCUGCAAGGCGAACGCUUUCGAAACCUGGAUUCCAUCAUCAUUUAUUGCAACCGGCGGGAGGACACAGAGCGGGUUGCUGCACUUCUCCGAACCUGCCUGCAUCCGGCCCAGGGCCCAGGGCCUAAAGGUCGUGCCCCCAAAACCAUGGCUGAGGCCUACCACGCAGGCAUGUGCAGCCGGGAACGGCAGCGGGUACAACGGGCCUUCAUGCAGGGCCAGCUGCGAGUGGUGGUCGCCACAGUGGCCUUCGGGAUGGGGCUGGACCGGCCAGACGUGCGGGCUGUGUUGCAUCUGGGGCUGCCCCCAAGCUUUGAGAGCUAUGUGCAGGCCGUGGGACGGGCCGGGCGUGACGGGCAGCCUGCCCACUGCCAUCUCUUCUUGCAGCCCCAGGUGGGCAUCCCCCCAACCAGCAGUGUUCGGGCCCCCAGUGCUCUGUCCACCCUCAUGACUGUCGCGCUCCAGGGGGAAGACCUGCGAGAGCUGCGCAGACACGUGCACGCCAACGGCAUGGACUUCUGGGCCAUCAAGAGACUGGUGCAGCGCGUAUUCCCAUCCUGUACCUGCGCCAGGCUGCCCGCAGAGCAGGAGGGGGCCAGGGGUGGGGACAUCCCUGUGGCCGAGUCCCCCCCUCAAGAGGUGGAGCAGCUUGGUGGCCGCCAAGCAGCCCCAGGACCUAGAAGGGCCUGUGUGGGCCACGAACGGGCACUCCCAGUGCAGCCGACCGUCCAGGCCUUGGACAUGCCAGAGGAGGGUGAGGAACCCAGGGUAAACCACGGGGGUGUGGAUGGGCCGGCCCCACGUUCCCUGAGCCCUGCUCUGCCCCCAGCCAUCGAGACUUUGCUGUGCUACCUGGAGUUGCACCCACGGCACUGGCUGGAGCUGUUGGCGACCACCUAUGCCCGUUGCUAUCUGCACUGCUCUGGCGGCCCUGCCCAGCUCCAGGCCCUGGCCCACAGGUGUCCCCCUUUGGCUGUGUGCUUGGCCCAGCGGCUGCCUGAGGACCCAGGACAAGGCAGCAGCUCAGUAGAGUUUGACAUGGUCGAGCUGGUAGACUCCAUGGACUGGGAGCUGGCCUGUGUGCGGCGGGCUCUCUACCAGCUGCAGUGGGACCACGAACCUCGGACAGGUACACCGCUCCCCACCCCUCCCCACCCCGCCCUGGAUGCUGCCUGCCUGCAUCUGACUUGCUUUCUGGCAGGUUUGUGGCGGAGCACAGGGGUACUUGUGGAGUUCAGGGAGCUGGCCUUCCACCUUCGCACCCCAGGUGACCUGACCGCUGAGGAGAAGGACCAGAUCUGUGACUUCCUGUAUGGCCGUGUACAGGCCCGGGAGCACCAGGCCUUGGCCCAUCUGCACAGAACCUUCCAGGCCUUUCACAGCCUUCCCCAGCUGUGGGCCCUGCCUGGAGCAGCAGGAUGAGGAGCGCAGUACCAGGCUCAAGGACCUGCUCAGCCGCUACUUUGAGGAAGUGGAAGAGGAAGCACAGGGGCCCGGCGGCUUGGGGGAUGCACAGGGUCCCGAGCCAGGGCAGGCCAGGCUCCAAGAUUGGGAAGACCAGGUCCGCCGUGACAUCCGUCAGCUCCUAUCCCUGAGGCCAGAGGAGAAGUUCUCAGGCAGGGCUGUGGCCCGCAUCUUCCACGGCAUUGGAAGCCCCUGCUACCCAGCCCAGGUGUUCGGGCAGGACCGGCGCUUCUGGAGAAAAUACCUGCACCUGAGCUUCCACGCUCUGGUGCGCCUGGCCACGGAAGAGCUGCUGCAGGUGGGCCGCUGACUGCACCGCGUGGAGGAUGUGGGGCAGAGCUGGGAUUGUCAGCGGCAAGGACAAUGACAAGCCCUGGGCAAAACCUGCCACAGGGCGUGGGACGAGGAGGCUCAAAAAGCAGAAUAAAAAGUGCUUACCUUUUUUUUUUUUU
RNA transcript from Sapajus apella (tufted capuchin), 4048 nucleotides. It is a transcript of the gene named RecQ like helicase 4, with no coding region annotated. The record is from RefSeq and is a predicted model, not a curated record. The transcript has 18 exons. NCBI's taxonomy places the organism in Eukaryota, Metazoa, Chordata, Mammalia, Primates, Cebidae.